GACAGAGGGUGCAAACGUUGUUCGGAAUUACUGGGCGUAAAGCGCGUGUAGGCGGCCGAGUAAGUCGGGUGUGAAAGCCCAGGGCUCAACCUUGGAAGUGCACUCGAAACUGCACGGCUGGAGUCUCGGAGAGGGAAGUGGAAUUCGUGGGUGAUAGAAGGUGAAAUUCGUAGAUAUCCAGAGGAACACC
Molecule: ribosomal RNA, 190 nt
Filed under: uncultured bacterium
Lineage: Bacteria
Description: partial 16S ribosomal RNA
Rfam family: Bacterial small subunit ribosomal RNA
Source: RNAcentral